GGAUGAACGCUGGCGGCGUGCCUAACACAUGCAAGUCGAACGGGUAGCUUCGGCUAUCAGUGGCAAACGGGUGCGUAACACGUAGGGAUCUACCGCAUAGAUGGGGACAACGGCUGGAAACGGUCGCUAAUACCCGAUGGCCUCCGAGGAGGAAAGUCUCACGACGCUAUGCGAGGAGCCUGCGGCCUAUCAGGUAGUUGGUGGGGUAAAAGCUCACCAAGCCGACGACGGGUAGGGGGUGUGAGAGCAUGACCCCCCACACGGGGACUGAGACACGGCCCCGACUCCUACGGGAGGCAGCAGUGAGGGAUAUUGGGCAACGGACGCAAGUCUGACCCAGCGACGCCGCGUGGAGGAGAAGGGCUUCGGCUCGUAAACUCCUUUUCCCGAGGACGAGACAAGGACGGUACUCGGGGAAUAAGUCUCGGCUAACUACGUGCCAGCAGCCGCGGUAAUACGUAGGAGGCAAGCGUUAUCCGGAAUUACUGGGCGUAAAGGGCGUCUAGGUGGCAGCCCAAGCGGGGUGUGAAAGCUCCUGGCUUAACUGGGAGAGUGCGCUCCGAACUGGGCAGCUAGAGGGCAGGCGACGGAGGUGGAAUACCCGGUGGAGUGGUGAAAUGCGUAGAGAUCGGGUGGAACACCAGUGGCGAAGGCGGCCUUCGAGCCUGUGCCUGACACUGAAGCGCGAGAGCGUGGGGAGCAAACGGGAUUAGAUACCCCGGUAGUCCACGCCGUAAACGAUGAUGACUAGGUGUAUGGGGUCUUAACAGGCCCUGUGUGCCGCAGCCAACGCGAUAAGUCAUCCGCCUGGGGAGUACGGCCGCAAGGCUAAAACUCAAAGGAAUUGACGGGGGCCCGCACAAGCAGUGGAGUAUGUGGUUUAAUUCGAAGCAACGCGAAGAACCUUACCAGGGCUUGACAUACCGCUGACCGGUCUGGAGACAGACCUUUCCUUCGGGACAGCGGAUACAGGUGGUGCAUGGUUGUCGUCAGCUCGUGUCGUGAGAUGUUGGGUUAAGUCCCGCAACGAGCGCAACCCUUAUUGUUAGUUGCCAUCAUUAAGUUGGGCACUCUAGCGAGACUGCCGGUGACAAAUCGGAGGAAGGUGGGGAUGACGUCAAAUCAUCAUGCCCCUUAUGUCCUGGGCUACACACGUACUACAAUGGCUGAUACAGCGCGAAGCGAGGCCGCGAGGCGGAGCAAAUCGCGAAAAUCAGUCCCAGUUCGGAUUGCAGGCUGCAACCCGCCUGCAUGAAGUCGGAAUUGCUAGA
This 1271-nucleotide ribosomal RNA is filed under the name uncultured bacterium. Its description in RNAcentral is "bacterial SSU rRNA". It matches the Rfam family "Bacterial small subunit ribosomal RNA", at positions 27 to 1339 of the family's 1533-position model. The record is from RNAcentral.